GGUGAGUAAUGUCUGGGAAACUGCCUGAUGGAGGGGGAGUAACUACUGGAAACGGUAGCUAAUACCGCAUAAUGUCGCAAGACCAAAGAGGGGGACCUUCGGGCCUCUUGCCAUCAGAUGUGCCCAGAUGGGAUUAGCUAGUAGGUGGGGUAACGGCUCACCUAGGCGACGAUCCCUAGCUGGUCUGAGAGGAUGACCAGCCACACUGGAACUGAGACACGGUCCAGACUCCUACGGGAGGCAGCAUG
RNAcentral lists this ribosomal RNA (248 nucleotides) under uncultured bacterium. RNAcentral describes it as "partial 16S ribosomal RNA". It matches the Rfam family "Bacterial small subunit ribosomal RNA", at positions 105 to 353 of the family's 1533-position model. The record is from RNAcentral.